RNAcentral lists this ribosomal RNA (698 nucleotides) under uncultured Bacteroidales bacterium. RNAcentral's name for it is "bacterial SSU rRNA". It matches the Rfam family "Bacterial small subunit ribosomal RNA", at positions 63 to 750 of the family's 1533-position model. The record is from RNAcentral. Lineage: Bacteria; Pseudomonadati; Bacteroidota; Bacteroidia; Bacteroidales.
CGAGGGGCAGCAUGGUCUUAGCUUGCUAAGGCCGAUGGCGACCGGCGCACGGGUGAGUAACACGUAUCCAACCUGCCGUCUACUCUUGGACAGCCUUCUGAAAGGAAGAUUAAUACAAGAUGGCAUCAUGAGUCCGCAUGUUCACAUGAUUAAAGGUAUUCCGGUAGACGAUGGGGAUGCGUUCCAUUAGAUAGUAGGCGGGGUAACGGCCCACCUAGUCUUCGAUGGAUAGGGGUUCUGAGAGGAAGGUCCCCCACAUUGGAACUGAGACACGGUCCAAACUCCUACGGGAGGCAGCAGUGAGGAAUAUUGGUCAAUGGGCGAGAGCCUGAACCAGCCAAGUAGCGUGAAGGAUGACUGCCCUAUGGGUUGUAAACUUCUUUUAUAAAGGAAUAAAGUCGGGUAUGGAUACCCGUUUGCAUGUACUUUAUGAAUAAGGAUCGGCUAACUCCGUGCCAGCAGCCGCGGUAAUACGGAGGAUCCGAGCGUUAUCCGGAUUUAUUGGGUUUAAAGGGAGCGUAGAUGGAUGUUUAAGUCAGUUGUGAAAGUUUGCGGCUCAACCGUAAAAUUGCAGUUGAUACUGGAUAUCUUGAGUGCAGUUGAGGCAGGCGGAAUUCGUGGUGUAGCGGUGAAAUGCUUAGAUAUCACGAAGAACUCCGAUUGCGAAGGCAGCCUGCUAAGCUGCAACUGACAUUGAG